RNAcentral lists this ribosomal RNA (1365 nucleotides) under Vibrio sp. HS3. Its description in RNAcentral is "16S ribosomal RNA". It matches the Rfam family "Bacterial small subunit ribosomal RNA", at positions 90 to 1452 of the family's 1533-position model. The record is from RNAcentral. Lineage: Bacteria; Pseudomonadati; Pseudomonadota; Gammaproteobacteria; Vibrionales; Vibrionaceae.
GUCGAGCGGCGGACGGGUGAGUAAUGCCUAGGAAAUUGCCCUGAUGUGGGGGAUAACCAUUGGAAACGAUGGCUAAUACCGCAUGAUGCCUACGGGCCAAAGAGGGGGACCUUCGGGCCUCUCGCGUCAGGAUAUGCCUAGGUGGGAUUAGCUAGUUGGUGAGGUAAGGGCUCACCAAGGCGACGAUCCCUAGCUGGUCUGAGAGGAUGAUCAGCCACACUGGAACUGAGACACGUCCAGACUCCUACGGGAGGCAGCAGUGGGGAAUAUUGCACAAUGGGCGCAAGCCUGAUGCAGCCAUGCCGCGUGUGUGAAGAAGGCCUUCGGGUUGUAAAGCACUUUCAGUCGUGAGGAAGGUGGUGUAGUUAAUAGCUGCAUUAUUUGACGUUAGCGACAGAAGAAGCACCGGCUAACUCCGUGCCAGCAGCCGCGGUAAUACGGAGGGUGCGAGCGUUAAUCGGAAUUACUGGGCGUAAAGCGCAUGCAGGUGGUUUGUUAAGUCAGAUGUGAAAGCCCGGGGCUCAACCUCGGAAUAGCAUUUGAAACUGGCAGACUAGAGUACUGUAGAGGGGGGUAGAAUUUCAGGUGUAGCGGUGAAAUGCGUAGAGAUCUGAAGGAAUACCGGUGGCGAAGGCGGCCCCCUGGACAGAUACUGACACUCAGAUGCGAAAGCGUGGGGAGCAAACAGGAUUAGAUACCCUGGUAGUCCACGCCGUAAACGAUGUCUACUUGGAGGUUGUGGCCUUGAGCCGUGGCUUUCGGAGCUAACGCGUUAAGUAGACCGCCUGGGGAGUACGGUCGCAAGAUUAAAACUCAAAUGAAUUGACGGGGGCCCGCACAAGCGGUGGAGCAUGUGGUUUAAUUCGAUGCAACGCGAAGAACCUUACCUACUCUUGACAUCCAGAGAACUUUCCAGAGAUGGAUUGGUGCCUUCGGGAACUCUGAGACAGGUGCUGCAUGGCUGUCGUCAGCUCGUGUUGUGAAAUGUUGGGUUAAGUCCCGCAACGAGCGCAACCCUUAUCCUUGUUUGCCAGCGAGUAAUGUCGGGAACUCCAGGGAGACUGCCGGUGAUAAACCGGAGGAAGGUGGGGACGACGUCAAGUCAUCAUGGCCCUUACGAGUAGGGCUACACACGUGCUACAAUGGCGCAUACAGAGGGCGGCCAACUUGCGAAAGUGAGCGAAUCCCAAAAAGUGCGUCGUAGUCCGGAUUGGAGUCUGCAACUCGACUCCAUGAAGUCGGAAUCGCUAGUAAUCGUGGAUCAGAAUGCCACGGUGAAUACGUUCCCGGGCCUUGUACACACCGCCCGUCACACCAUGGGAGUGGGCUGCAAAAGAAGUAGGUAGUUUAACCUUCGGGGGGACG